UACAGAGGUCCCAAGCGUUGUUCGGAUUCAUUGGGCGUAAAGGGUGCGUAGGCGGCGCGGUAAGUCGGGUGUGAAAUCUCGGAGCUUAACUCCGAAACUGCAUUCGAUACUGCCGUGCUUGAGGACUGGAGAGGAGACUGGAAUUUACGGUGUAGCGGUGAAAUGCGUAGAUAUCGUAAGGAAGACCAGUGGCGAAGGCGGCAUCCUGGACCAACACUGACGCUGAGGAGCGAAAGCCAGGGGAGCAAACGGG
This 253-nucleotide ribosomal RNA is filed under the name uncultured bacterium. RNAcentral describes it as "partial 16S ribosomal RNA". It matches the Rfam family "Bacterial small subunit ribosomal RNA", at positions 524 to 776 of the family's 1533-position model. The record is from RNAcentral.